UUAAGCGACUAAGCGUACACGGUGGAUGCCCUGGCAGUCAGAGGCGAUGAAGGACGUGCUAAUCUGCGAUAAGCGUCGGUAAGGUGAUAUGAACCGUUAUAACCGGCGAUUUCCGAAUGGGGAAACCCAGUGUGUUUCGACACACUAUCAUUAACUGAAUCCAUAGGUUAAUGAGGCGAACCGGGGGAACUGAAACAUCUAAGUACCCCGAGGAAAAGAAAUCAACCGAGAUUCCCCCAGUAGCGGCGAGCGAACGGGAGCAGCCCAGAGCCUGAAUCAGUAUGUGUGUUAGUGGAAGCGUCUGGAAAGGCGCGCGAUACAGGGUGACAGCCCCGUACACAAAAAUGCACAUGCUGUGAGCUCGAUGAGUAGGGCGGGACACGUGGUAUCCUGUCUGAAUAUGGGGGGACCAUCCUCCAAGGCUAAAUACUCCUGACUGACCGAUAGUGAACCAGUACCGUGAGGGAAAGGCGAAAAGAACCCCGGCGAGGGGAGUGAAAAAGAACCUGAAACCGUGUACGUACAAGCAGUGGGAGCUCGCUUAGGCGUGUGACUGCGUACCUUUUGUAUAAUGGGUCAGCGACUUAUAUUCUGUAGCAAGGUUAACCGAAUAGGGGAGCCGAAGGGAAACCGAGUCUUAACUGGGCGUUAAGUUGCAGGGUAUAGACCCGAAACCCGGUGAUCUAGCCAUGGGCAGGUUGAAGGUUGGGUAACACUAACUGGAGGACCGAACCGACUAAUGUUGAAAAAUUAGCGGAUGACUUGUGGCUGGGGGUGAAAGGCCAAUCAAACCGGGAGAUAGCUGGUUCUCCCCGAAAGCUAUUUAGGUAGCGCCUCGUGAAUUCAUCUCCGGGGGUAGAGCACUGUUUCGGCAAGGGGGUCAUCCCGACUUACCAACCCGAUGCAAACUGCGAAUACCGGAGAAUGUUAUCACGGGAGACACACGGCGGGUGCUAACGUCCGUCGUGAAGAGGGAAACAACCCAGACCGCCAGCUAAGGUCCCAAAGUCAUGGUUAAGUGGGAAACGAUGUGGGAAGGCCCAGACAGCCAGGAUGUUGGCUUAGAAGCAGCCAUCAUUUAAAGAAAGCGUAAUAGCUCACUGGUCGAGUCGGCCUGCGCGGAAGAUGUAACGGGGCUAAACCAUGCACCGAAGCUGCGGCAGCGACGCUUAUGCGUUGUUGGGUAGGGGAGCGUUCUGUAAGCCUGCGAAGGUGUGCUGUGAGGCAUGCUGGAGGUAUCAGAAGUGCGAAUGCUGACAUAAGUAACGAUAAAGCGGGUGAAAAGCCCGCUCGCCGGAAGACCAAGGGUUCCUGUCCAACGUUAAUCGGGGCAGGGUGAGUCGACCCCUAAGGCGAGGCCGAAAGGCGUAGUCGAUGGGAAACAGGUUAAUAUUCCUGUACUUGGUGUUACUGCGAAGGGGGGACGGAGAAGGCUAUGUUGGCCGGGCGACGGUUGUCCCGGUUUAAGCGUGUAGGCUGGUUUUCCAGGCAAAUCCGGAAAAUCAAGGCUGAGGCGUGAUGACGAGGCACUACGGUGCUGAAGCAACAAAUGCCCUGCUUCCAGGAAAAGCCUCUAAGCAUCAGGUAACAUCAAAUCGUACCCAAACCGACACAGGUGGUCAGGUAGAGAAUACCAAGGCGCUUGAGAGAACUCGGGUGAAGGAACUAGGCAAAAUGGUGCCGUAACUUCGGGAGAAGGCACGCUGAUAUGUAGGUGAAGUCCCUCGCGGAUGGAGCUGAAAUCAGUCGAAGAUACCAGCUGGCUGCAACUGUUUAUUAAAAACACAGCACUGUGCAAACACGAAAGUGGACGUAUACGGUGUGACGCCUGCCCGGUGCCGGAAGGUUAAUUGAUGGGGUUAGCGCAAGCGAAGCUCUUGAUCGAAGCCCCGGUAAACGGCGGCCGUAACUAUAACGGUCCUAAGGUAGCGAAAUUCCUUGUCGGGUAAGUUCCGACCUGCACGAAUGGCGUAAUGAUGGCCAGGCUGUCUCCACCCGAGACUCAGUGAAAUUGAACUCGCUGUGAAGAUGCAGUGUACCCGCGGCAAGACGGAAAGACCCCGUGAACCUUUACUAUAGCUUGACACUGAACAUUGAGCCUUGAUGUGUAGGAUAGGUGGGAGGCUUUGAAGUGUGGACGCCAGUCUGCAUGGAGCCGACCUUGAAAUACCACCCUUUAAUGUUUGAUGUUCUAACGUUGACCCGUAAUCCGGGUUGCGGACAGUGUCUGGUGGGUAGUUUGACUGGGGCGGUCUCCUCCUAAAGAGUAACGGAGGAGCACGAAGGUUGGCUAAUCCUGGUCGGACAUCAGGAGGUUAGUGCAAUGGCAUAAGCCAGCUUGACUGCGAGCGUGACGGCGCGAGCAGGUGCGAAAGCAGGUCAUAGUGAUCCGGUGGUUCUGAAUGGAAGGGCCAUCGCUCAACGGAUAAAAGGUACUCCGGGGAUAACAGGCUGAUACCGCCCAAGAGUUCAUAUCGACGGCGGUGUUUGGCACCUCGAUGUCGGCUCAUCACAUCCUGGGGCUGAAGUAGGUCCCAAGGGUAUGGCUGUUCGCCAUUUAAAGUGGUACGCGAGCUGGGUUUAGAACGUCGUGAGACAGUUCGGUCCCUAUCUGCCGUGGGCGCUGGAGAACUGAGGGGGGCUGCUCCUAGUACGAGAGGACCGGAGUGGACGCAUCACUGGUGUUCGGGUUGUCAUGCCAAUGGCACUGCCCGGUAGCUAAAUGCGGAAGAGAUAAGUGCUGAAAGCAUCUAAGCACGAAACUUGCCCCGAGAUGAGUUCUCCCUGACUCCUUGAGAGUCCUGAAGGAACGUUGAAGACGACGACGUUGAUAGGCCGGGUGUGUAAGCGCAGCGAUGCGUUGAGCUAACCGGUACUAAUGAACCGUGAGGCUUAACCUU
RNAcentral lists this ribosomal RNA (2900 nucleotides) under Escherichia coli DEC9A. RNAcentral describes it as "bacterial LSU rRNA". It matches the Rfam family "Bacterial large subunit ribosomal RNA". Lineage: Bacteria; Pseudomonadati; Pseudomonadota; Gammaproteobacteria; Enterobacterales; Enterobacteriaceae. The record is from RNAcentral.